UGGGGAAUUUUGGACAAUGGGCGCACGCCUGAUCCAGCAAUGCCGCGUGCAGGAUGAUGGCCUUCGGGUUGUAAAGUUCUUUCACCUGUGACGAUGAUGACGGUAACAGGAGAAGAAGCCCCGGCUAACUCCGUGCCAGCAGCCGCGGUAAUACGAAGGGUGCAAGCGUUACUCGGAAUUACUGGUCGUAAAGCGUGCGCAGGCGGUCAUAUCAGACAGAUGUGAAAUCCCCGGGCUCAACCUGGGACCUGCAUUUGUGACUGUAUGGCUAGAGUACGGUAGAGGGGGAUGGAAUUCCGCGUGUAGCAGUGAAAUGCGGAGAUAUGCGGAGGAACACCGAUGGCGAAGGCAAUCCCCUGGGCCUGCACUGACGCUCAUGCACGAAAGCGUGGGGAGCAAACA
Molecule: ribosomal RNA, 402 nt
Filed under: uncultured bacterium
Lineage: Bacteria
Description: bacterial SSU rRNA
Rfam family: Bacterial small subunit ribosomal RNA
Source: RNAcentral